GAUGAAGAACGCAGCGAAAUGCGAUACGUAAUGUGAAUUGCAGAAUUCAGUGAAUCAUCGAAUCUUUGAACGCAUAUUGCGCUCUCUGGUAUUCCGGAGAGCAUGCUUGUUUGAGUAUCAGUAAACACCUCAACUUCCAUAUCUUUUUUGAAAUGGGAGUUGGACUUGAGUGAUCCCAACGCUUUUCCUCACCGAAAAGUGGCGGGUUACUUGAAAUGCAGGUGCAGCUGGACUUUUCUCUGAGCUAUAAGCAUAUCUAUUUAGUCUGCCUAAAAACAGAUUAUUACCUUUGCUGCAGCUAACAUAAAGGAGAUUAGUUCUUGUGCUGACUGAUGCAGGAUUCACAAAGACGGCUUCGGCCGACUUUGUAAACUCGAUCUCAAAUCAAGUAAGACUACCCGCUGAACUUAAGCAUAUCAAUAAGCGGAGGA
This 431-nucleotide unclassified non-coding RNA is filed under the name soil metagenome. Its description in RNAcentral is "partial contains 5.8S ribosomal RNA, internal transcribed spacer 2, and large subunit ribosomal RNA". The stretch from base 1 to 120 matches the Rfam family "5.8S ribosomal RNA", at positions 35 to 154 of the family's 154-position model. The record is from RNAcentral.